Molecule: ribosomal RNA, 1237 nt
Filed under: Aequorivita viscosa
Lineage: Bacteria; Pseudomonadati; Bacteroidota; Flavobacteriia; Flavobacteriales; Flavobacteriaceae
Description: bacterial LSU rRNA
Rfam family: Bacterial large subunit ribosomal RNA
Source: RNAcentral
GGGGUUGUAGGACCACGACAUUUGGUGCUUUAUGAAUAAGAACACGUUGGAAAGCGUGGCCAUAGACGGUGAUAGCCCGGUAUUAGUAAAGACAGUUACCGAUAGUGGUAUCCUGAGUAGUGCGGGGCACGUGAAACCCUGUAUGAAUCUGGCGGGACCAUCCGCCAAGGCUAAAUACUCCUGAGAGACCGAUAGUGAACCAGUACCGUGAGGGAAAGGUGAAAAGAACCGUGAAUAACGGAGUGAAAUAGAUCCUGAAACCAUACGCUUACAAGCGGUCGGAGCCAAUUUAUUGGUGACGGCGUGCCUUUUGCAUAAUGAGCCUACGAGUUACUGUUGCCAGCGAGGUUAAAAUUUUAAGAAUUGGAGCCGCAGCGAAAGCGAGUCUGAAUAGGGCGUUUUAGUUGGUAGUAGUAGACGCGAAACCGUGUGAUCUACCCUUGGGCAGGUUGAAGUUUAGGUAACACUAAAUGGAGGACCGAACCCGUUGACGUUGAAAAGUCUUGGGAUGACCUGAGGGUAGGGGUGAAAGGCCAAUCAAACUCGGAAAUAGCUCGUACUCCCCGAAAUGCAUUUAGGUGCAGCGUUGAUAUAUAGUUUUAUAGAGGUAGAGCUACUGAUUGGAUGCGGGGGCUUCACCGCCUACCAAUUCCUGACAAACUCCGAAUGCUAUAAAAUGAUGAUCAGCAGUGAGGGCAUGGGUGCUAAGGUCCAUGUCCGAGAGGGAAAGAACCCAGACCAUCAGCUAAGGUCCCCAAAUGUAUGUUAAGUUGAAAAAACGCGGUCGGACUGCAUAGACAGCCAGGAUGUUGGCUUGGAAGCAGCCAUUCAUUUAAAGAGUGCGUAACAGCUCACUGGUCGAGCGGUCCGGCAUGGAUAAUAAUCGGGCAUAAACAUACUACCGAAGCUAUGGACUUAAUUUAUUAAGUGGUAGGGGAGCAUUCUGUUUGCGUUGAAGGUGUACUGUGAGGUAUGCUGGAGCGUACAGAAAAGAAAAUGUAGGCAUAAGUAACGAUAAUGCGGGCGAGAAACCCGCACUCCGAAAGACCAAGGUUUCCUCAGCUAUGCUAAUCAGCUGAGGGUUAGUCGGGGCCUAACGCGAACCCGAAAGGGGUAGUGGAUGGACAACAGGUUAAUAUUCCUGUACCUGCUCACGUUAAAAGUGACGGAGGCGUAAAUUUGGUGCGUGCUGACGGAAUAGCACGUUGAAGCCAGUGGUAACACGGCGAUAGUACAC